Long non-coding RNA from Astatotilapia calliptera (eastern happy), 1991 nucleotides. Lineage: Eukaryota; Metazoa; Chordata; Actinopteri; Cichliformes; Cichlidae. The record is from Ensembl.
CAGGGUGUAAAUGGACUCAUGUGCAGACCAGAGAUCCUUGCAAGGAAGACAGUGAAUUUAUUUACAAAAAGACAACACCAGGUGAUAAUAUGUACAUGUGCAAGUGGGGGGAAGGGAGGAGGUCCAGGGUUCCAGGGUCCGUGAGGGAAAAGGAGGGGGAUUGAACAGACUCCAAACGUUUCCAAAUUUCUCUCCUCUCUCCACCACAAGGUCGUACACGCCACACACUGGCUCGCAGGCGGGUCCAGGAAAGAUCUGUACACAGAAACUCCAGUUAGAAACAGACUGACAGAAAGAAACUCACAGAUUCUAAUUUUCUGACUGCAGGGGGACUGACACUGAUAGCUCAACGAUCCAGCGACGAGUAGCACCGUGCUCAGGAUUACGAAGAUAGGCAGCAGGUGUGGAGAUGGCAGAUCUUGAACAUGUUGCACUGUCAAUGGUGCUGCUAUGGAGAAGGUACGCAGCACCAAGUUCCUGGGUGUGCACAUCUCAGAAGAUCUCUCCUAGUCAAAAAACACAUCAUUGCUGGUCAGUAAAGCCCAACAGUGACUCUACUUUCUCCACAAACUGGGAAGAGCAAGAGCCUCAACCCCAACUAUGAGCACCGUUGAGAGUAUCUUGCCAUAGUUACAAUGGGUAGUAAGAGCAGCGGACAGGAUCGUAACUCCACUCAUCCGUCUAACAGCUUCUUCAGUUUGCUCAGGAAGGAGACUGAAGAGCCUCUUGGCCAGAACCAGCAGACUGAGAGACAGCUUCGACCAUCAGGCUGUCAGGAUGCUGAAUUCACUCCCUGCUCUCACACACGAACUGCAGACCUGCGUUCACUUCUUCCCUGUGAAACAUACAAAACUCUGACCUGCCACCAUUGCCUUUUCACUGACUGCCCCACCCCACUCGCACACAAACUUGCCCACAAUCACUAUAAUUGUGUUGGACACUGCUGUUUAAAUAAGAUUGUAUAGUAUUGUGUUGCACAUAAGGCUCCCAUUUUAUUUUUAUCUUUUUAUCUUUAUAUUGUUUUAGUGUACACUGAGGGCCAUGCGAGCAUUGCAGUUUCAAAUUCCUGUGUGUGAUUGUAAAUAUGGUCUUUGACAAUAAGGCUAACUUUGACUUUGACUUUGAUAAUGUCUCUGAUUUGAGUAGGUGGUGUUCAGCUGAAUCUCCCCAAACAAAUCAAAUGACGUACAAAUGCUUUCUUUUAUGUCAACAUGCACAAAGCCUGAAGCAAAGCCUUCAAAACUGUUUUAUAUAUUUUUAUGCAGAUGACACAGUUUUAUAUGCCAGUGGCUCUUCCUUUGAUCUGGCUAUUGCAAAUGUACAACCUGCUUUUUUUUAACGUUGGUUUUCUUAAUUUUUGAUUGUGUGGAAUACGUAAUUUUAUUUUAUAUGGUAAUAGCCGUCUAUCUUGAGAAAGAGAUGUCAAACCCAGUGACAAUACCUGUUUAAAUAAAGUAUUUAAUAAGAAUUUGUUUUUGUAUCUGAUGCCAUUGAGACCUACUGUAUGGGUUGUAUUUUAUGCUACAGAAAGUGCUCUCUGCCACCUCCAUAAAGCCAAACACUUUGGGUGGUAGCUGCUCCUCUUUUGCUGUUGUUGUCCGCUUAAAUGUCUGUUAUAUUACAUCUGUAUGUGCAAUCUGAGGUUUCAACUUGGCUCACAUAUUCUCCUGGGCUAGCGCAUUGCCCUUCAAAAGGCAAUUACUCGUUCUAAGACAGCCAGUUUGAGGUGCAGCAUGCGAUGAGACAGUAAGAGACUGUAGAGACUCAAUCGAGGGGCCACUGAUACAGCAGAUGAAGCUGACCCAGAUUCUGUGGGAAGAAGGCAAGAAGAGAGUCUCAUCUACAAAGUAAUUUCCUCUGUGAGAAAAACACUGGCUGCUUUGCCCUUAAAAUUGUCUGAUCAAAUAUUUCAGUCUGAAUGUAGGGUCGGUGUCUGGAGAAGAUGUGAUCUGCUAAGGCAUGUUAUUAAUCCUCAUUAUCUGUCUAGUGGU